Molecule: non-coding RNA, 170 nt
Organism: Blautia sp. CAG:237
Lineage: Bacteria; Bacillati; Bacillota; Clostridia; Lachnospirales; Lachnospiraceae
Source: Rfam
AGAUACCAGGGUGAAAAGAGCUGAAUCCACAUGAGCUUGCUCAUAAGUGGAUGAAGAAUCUUGGAACCCGCCCCGAUAUGAGCAUAAAAGUGGGAUGAUAAUCCCGCGAUAUGCGAAGAGAGGGUAGAAUUGCGAAAGUUACUUGGUAACGGAGCAAUUCGUAGGUAUCG